UGAGGAAUAUUGGUCAAUGGACGAGAGUCUGAACCAGCCAAGUAGCGUGCAGGAUGACGGCCCUAUGGGUUGUAAACUGCUUUUGUUUGGGAAUAAUCGACAUUACGUGUAAUGUUUUGCAUGUACCAUUCGAAUAAGGACCGGCUAAUUCCGUGCCAGCAGCCGCGGUAAUACGGAAGGUCCAGGCGUUAUCCGGAUUUAUUGGGUUUAAAGGGAGUGUAGGCGGUUGGUUAAGCGUGUUGUGAAAUGUAGAGGCUCAACAUCUGACUUGCAGCGCGAACUGGCUGACUUGAGUACACACAACGUAGGCGGAAUUCAUGGUGUAGCGGUGAAAUGCUUAGAUAGCAUGAAGAACUCCGAUUGCGAAGGCAGCUUACGGGAGUGUUACUGACGCUUAAGCUCGAAGGUGCGGGUAUCGAACAGG
Molecule: ribosomal RNA, 424 nt
Filed under: Verrucomicrobiota bacterium
Lineage: Bacteria; Pseudomonadati; Verrucomicrobiota
Description: Verrucomicrobia bacterium partial 16S ribosomal RNA
Rfam family: Bacterial small subunit ribosomal RNA
Source: RNAcentral